AUUGAACGCUGGCGGCAGGCCUAACACAUGCAAGUCGAACGGUAGCACAGAGAGCUUGCUCUCGGGUGACGAGUGGCGGACGGGUGAGUAACGUCUGGGAAACUGCCCGAUGGAGGGGGAUAACUACUGGAAACGGUAGCUAAUACCGCAUAACGUCGCAAGACCAAAGUGGGGGACCUUCGGGCCUCACACCAUCGGAUGUGCCCAGAUGGGAUUAGCUAGUAGGUGGGGUAAUGGCUCACCUAGGCGGCGAUCCCUAGCUGGUCUGAGAGGAUGACCAGCCACACUGGAACUGAGACACGGUCCAGACUCCUACGGGAGGCAGCAGUGGGGAAUAUUGCACAAUGGGCGCAAGCCUGAUGCAGCCAUGCCGCGUGUAUGAAGAAGGCCUUCGGGUUGUAAAGUACUUUCAGUGGGGAGGAAGGCGGUGAAGUUAAUAGCUUCACCGAUUGACGUUACCCGCAGAAGAAGCACUGGCUAACUCCGUGCCAGCCGCCGCCGUAA
RNAcentral lists this ribosomal RNA (504 nucleotides) under uncultured bacterium. RNAcentral describes it as "partial 16S ribosomal RNA". It matches the Rfam family "Bacterial small subunit ribosomal RNA", at positions 30 to 523 of the family's 1533-position model. The record is from RNAcentral.